This 404-nucleotide ribosomal RNA is filed under the name uncultured bacterium. RNAcentral describes it as "bacterial SSU rRNA". It matches the Rfam family "Bacterial small subunit ribosomal RNA", at positions 30 to 420 of the family's 1533-position model. The record is from RNAcentral.
CGAACGUUAGCGGCGCGCCUAACACAUGCAAGUCGAGCGAGAAAGGGAGCAAUCCCCGGUAAAGCGGCGCACGGGUGAGUAACACGUAGGUAAUCUGCCUCUGAGUGGGGGAUAACCUUCCGAAAGGAGGGCUAAUACCGCAUGAGACCACGCCUUCGAGAGGAGGAGGGGUCAAAGCCGGCCACUAUACAUAAGCUGGCGCUUGGAGAUGAGCCUGCGGCCCAUCAGCUAGUUGGUAGGGUAAUGGCCUACCAAGGCGUAGACGGGUAGCUGGUCUGAGAGGAUGAUCAGCCACACUGGAACUGAGACACGGUCCAGACUCCUACGGGAGGCAGCAGUGGGGAAUCUUGCGCAAUGGGCGAAAGCCUGACGCAGCGACGCCGCGUGAGUGAUGAAGGCCUCGG